GGGGAAUUUUGGACAAUGGGCGCAAGCCUGAUCCAGCCAUGCCGCGUGUCUGAAGAAGGCCUUCGGGUUGUAAAGGACUUUUGUCAGGGAAGAAAAGGCUGUUGCUAAUAUCGACAGCUGAUGACGGUACCUGAAGAAUAAGCACCGGCUAACUACGUGCCAGCAGCCGCGGUAAUACGUAGGGUGCGAGCGUUAAUCGGAAUUACUGGGCGUAAAGCGAGCGCAGACGGUUACUUAAGCAGGAUGUGAAAUCCCCGGGCUCAACCUGGGAACUGCGUUCUGAACUGGGUGACUAGAGUGUGUCAGAGGGAGGUAGAAUUCCACGUGUAGCAGUGAAAUGCGUAGAGAUGUGGAGGAAUACCGAUGGCGAAGGCAGCCUCCUGGGAUAACACUGACGUUCAUGCUCGAAAGCGUGGGUAGCAAACAGGAUUAGAUACCCUGGUAGUCCACGCCCUAAACGAUGUCAAUUAGCUGUUGGGCAACUUGAUUGCUUAGUAGCGUAGCUAACGCGUGAAAUUGACCGCCGGGGGAGUACGGUCGCAAGAUUA
This 548-nucleotide ribosomal RNA is filed under the name uncultured bacterium. RNAcentral describes it as "bacterial SSU rRNA". It matches the Rfam family "Bacterial small subunit ribosomal RNA", at positions 356 to 896 of the family's 1533-position model. The record is from RNAcentral.